CUACAUAAACUAAAAUCAACAUUCAGAAUCAAUACUGCAGCUCUAUUUACCUGGAUAUUCAGCAGGUGAGAAAGAAGUAGACGAAGAAGAAGAGGCAGAGGGUACAAUCUGUAGAGAUCUGAAGAUGGGUUUUUCCCAGACAGAAGGAAGGUUUAAUAACUUCCUCCUGGUUUGUAAUUGCAAUUGAGGAGAGACGAGACAAGCAGGCAACAGAUGAAGUACACAAGUAUUCAUGUCUUAAUUCACUUUUCCUUCUCCGAUAGACACCCCGGCAAGUCACUAUGCCGAUUCAGUUGCUUUUCUGGAAUUCAGAGCUCCUGCUGCCCACUGCACUGCCUAAUUGACACCACUUCUGGUGCAGUUGGAUUAUAG
RNAcentral lists this long non-coding RNA (372 nucleotides) under Solanum tuberosum (potato). RNAcentral's name for it is "long non-coding RNA (STUB_LNC003796)". Lineage: Eukaryota; Viridiplantae; Streptophyta; Magnoliopsida; Solanales; Solanaceae. The record is from RNAcentral.